This 106-nucleotide microRNA precursor is filed under the name Mesocricetus auratus (golden hamster). RNAcentral's name for it is "miRNA (ENSMAUG00000001633.1)". The record is from RNAcentral. Lineage: Eukaryota; Metazoa; Chordata; Mammalia; Rodentia; Cricetidae.
GAAAUGCCUCCAUGAGAUCCAGCUGUAAGGCAUUUUCUCAAUUAUUGAUUGAAGGGGAAGGCCCAGCCUAUUGUGGGUGGGACCAUCCCUGGGCUGGUAGUUCUCG